This 2187-nucleotide ribosomal RNA is filed under the name Triticum aestivum (bread wheat). RNAcentral describes it as "partial small subunit ribosomal RNA". The record is from RNAcentral. Lineage: Eukaryota; Viridiplantae; Streptophyta; Magnoliopsida; Poales; Poaceae.
CACUAGGGAUGGGACGGUGCGGCGGGUGGGAGCGUCCCAAAGUAGUAGUCUCUCCUUUCUGGCUUUUCCCCUAGACUCCAGUCGAUACGCGGCGAACGGGGCGGCGGAGGGCAGACGGCUCGAGGGCGGUGCGCGGUAGCGGGAACGGACUACGGAGCAUACUCCUAACUCACCACGAAGUCUUCUCUGCUGGCUUAUUCGUCGAGGGUUAGAAUAGAAACCCUCGACGUCAAGGGUUAGCUUCGUCGUCGUCGUCGUCAUCGAGGAAAAGCUCGACGGUAGGCGUUAGGUUCCUUAGUUCGCCGAGGAGAGGCUCAGAGGAAAAAAGUCACCGUUAGGCCUUAGUUUCGUCAGGAAGGGCCCGACGUUAGUCUUUGUCCAGGACAAAGGUCAAAAUUAUAUUCAGAGGCUCGACGACGAUAUUUAGACCGGACCGCCGUUGGCACCAUGGGCGGUCAAAAUUCUCCUAUGCUAGUUGAGGGAAGCCGCCGGCUGACGGUCUAGCUACCGGUUUGGUAGGCACCUGCCGGAGCCGUUUAGGAGGGAGCUAUACCACCUCCUGUUACCUCAACUGUCCGAGUCAUUCAACGGACUACUGCAAAACGAGUUGUAACACCUCGCUGAACUAUAGCGACUACGACGUGCUCGGUGGUAGGAGAGGUCUGCGACCUUCGUGUAGGGACGAUAUGAGAGUUUCUAACGAUAUUACCAACGAAGAAAAGUUGGGUUCGUACUUCCACCCUUCAAUUGGAGUCUACUAUAUCAAGCCCGGUUAUGGUUACACGACCUUCGUUGGUCCUCGUAUGACCUUUUCUCCCGACGUUCAGGUGUGUGGUAAGUGGACGACGCGUACGUUAAGAUGAACCCUCUACUCAGGUAAAAGUAACCAGUCUGACAACGGUUGUGGUAUCGUUGUGUGUUCCAACGAAGUCAACUCAAGUGUUAGAACUGGUUCCACGCGUGUUUAAAAUGGUUAUUACUGGACGAGUGAGUACCCUCCGUCAAGUACAGUAAGGAACUAAGCACAGGUUUGUGUAAACCACCAGAACGUGCGGAGUGCGAUCUCUUAAACUCCAAUCCUCUUAGUCCGAAAGGGUUUUAAAAGUCAUAUACGUUCGUUGAGCUCAAGGAGACGGAGAUGGUGACACUAUACCCGUAACUCAGAAACGACCUUCACCUUGUGGGUGUUGAGUCACUUGACCACUAACGGGCAUCGCACGAAUAAUUCUCCCAACUAGACUUCACCCAUGGUUUUGAGUGGCAUGACUUUAAAUUAUAUAAAGCUAGAGUUCUACUGGGGAAGACAGAACCGAUACAGGGUGACGAGGUCUGACACUCGUAGUAAUUAUGACCAAAAAGAACCGUGUUCUACGAGUCCUAUUCACUCAACGACCCAUUUUGGCGGUAUUCGUUGGAGGUAAACUUGAAGUUUUCACUUUUCUAAACCCAGUUCGGCCUUCCAGCUUCUGUUAACAAUGGUCACAAUGUGUUCGAUUCCGAACACUUAAACUAAUUGUAAAGACUUCUUACGCUAGACAGAGCCUAUUACAAGUAUGAAGUUCCACGUGGGUGGGAAUUCCUUGAUGCGUAGAACCACGCCCUGGUAAAUACACUUUACCAUUGCCCCCUCGCCUCUUUUUUCAUACGGAAAUCGCUCCUCUUCCUGUUCCCUGAUCUCACCCUUGGUAGACGUAGACUAAAGUUCGUGGUGUUGGAACGGCUCGAGUCUUAGAUACCCUCCAAACUUCGUCUUCUUUUAUAGCACGCGAAACAGUCCUUACAGUACCUUCGUCGCCACUUAGAGCUCCUGUAUUUUGAAAUAUUCUCAGGUCACACACUCUUAACGUUCGUGUACGAGGUCCUCACCUGCAACUUCCUCUUCAGCAACGAAUCGAUGUUUGAGUCGUUCCCCUACGACAGAAGCGAGCAGGCCUAAGUCAAGGGUUCAAAUCCCUUAAAAAAAUGAACCGGUUUCGUGACGCGAACUCGACGUUCGACGCAAAAAAAACGCCCCGACGUUCGACGUCAACUGUCCUCAACAACAUACGCAGCUAAUUAACAGUGAAUCAGUUAGAAAAGUUAAUAGACACAAAACUCUAACAUGACUCAGCUCCUCCUAUUCCUCAUUGAGAACUGUAAUCACACUUCAUAAAACCGUUUACUUUCAAUACUACACAAUAAGCACCG